UUUUUAUUAGCCUAAUGAUGGAAAACUCGUUUUUUGAGCGGUUCUGUGGAUUAUUGUUAGGAGCCUUUUCUAUCAUUUUUGCUGUACUAGCCAUUAUCAUCAUCAAAAACACCAUCCUCUGUCUGUCUGUCUGUCUCUCCCUCUCUCUCUCUCUCUCUCUCUCUCUCUCUCUCUCUCUCUCUCUCUCUCUCUCUCUCUCUCUCUCUCUCUCUCUCUCUCUCUCUCCCUGGCUUGUAUGGUUGAAGAUGUGAAGAGGCUCGUAGUGAUAAUCCAGUGGUUAACCGUCAAUGACCAGAUAUAGCUAUGAGAUCUGAAGGCUUGUCCAGAGACAUUUGUUCCUCCUAAGAUAUGUGAUUGAAUCUUAAAUCAUUUUUGUUCCUCAGUUAUUCUAUGGUUGUAUUUUCUUAGUUUCCACAUAUUUAUUACACUUCUCCUUUAUUACAUCCUUUAUUUACCAUUGCAUCGAAGUUGCGACUGCGUUUCGUUGUAGUAGUGAUGCUGUGUUAACGAUCAGAUCUACUCUUUUGUCUAUUCUGUGUCUCCAUGAUAUAACUGUAGAUGCCCACUGGUUUUUGUUUUUUUUUUAAGAAUGUUUUCUAGUGUAGCUAUUUUGCUGCCUCAGAAAUAUGGUUCAAUUUUUAUUAGCCUAAUGAUGGAAAACUCAUUUUUGGAGCGGUUCUGUGGAUUAUUGUUAGGAGCCUUUUCUAUCAUUUUUGCUUACUAGCCAUUAUCAUCAUCAUAAACACCAUCCUCUAUCUAUCCAUCUCUCUCUCUCUCUCUCUCUCUCUCUCUCUCUCUCUCUCUCUCUCUCUCUCUCGCUCUCUCUCUCUCUCUCCCUCCCUCCCUCCCCCCUGGCUUGUAGUGUUGAAGAUGUGAAGAGGCUCAUAGUGAUUAUCCAGUGGUUAACUGUCAAUGACCAGACAUAGCUAUGAGAUCUGAAGGCUUGCCCAGAAACAUUUGUUUCUUUUAAGAUAUGUUUAUUGAAUCUUAAAUCAUUUUUGUUCCUUAGUUAUUCUAUGGUUGUAUUUUCUUGGUUUCCACAUAUUUAUUAUGCUCCUCCUUUAUUAUGUCCUUUAUUUACCAUUGCUUCGAAGUUGCGACUGCAUUUCAUUGUAGUAGUGAUGCUGUGUUGACGAUCAGAUCUACUCUUUUGUCUAUUCUGUGCGUCUGCAUGAUAUAACUGCAUAUGCCCACUCGUUUUUGUUUAUUGUUUUUAACCAUGUUUUCUAGUGUAUCUAUUUUGCUGCCUCAGGAAGAUGGUUCAAUGUUUAUUAGCCUAAUGAUGGAAAACUCAUUUUUGGAGCGGUUCUGUGGAUUAUUGUUAGGAGCCUUUUCUAUCAUUUUUGCUGUACUAGCCAUUAUCAUCAUCAUAAACACCAUCCUCUCUCUCUGUCUCUCUGUCUCUCUGUCUCUCUCUCUCACUCUCUCUCUGUCUCUCUCUCUCUCUCUGUGGCUUGUACGGUUGGAGAUGUGAAGAGGCUCGUAGUGAUAAUCCAGUGGUUAACCGUCAAUGACCAGAUAUAGCUAUGAGAUCUGAAGGCUUGCCCAGAGACAUUUGUUCCUUUUAAGAUAUGGUUAUUGAAUCUUAAAUCAUUUUUGUUCCUCAGUUAUUCUAUGGUUGUAUUUUCUUGGUUUCCACAUUUUUUACACUCCUCCUUUAUUAUGUCCUUUAUUUACCAUUGCAUCAAAGUUGCGACUGCGUUUUGUUGUAGUAGUGAUGCUGUGUUAACGAUCAGAUCUACUCUUUUGUCUAUUCUGUGUCUCCAUGAUAUAACUGUAGAUGCCCACUCGUUUUUGUUUUUUUUAAACUGUGUUUUCUAGUGUAGCUAUUUUGCUGCCUCAGGACGAUGGUUCAAUUUUUAUUAGCCUAAUGAUGGAAAACUCAUUUUUGGAGCGGUUCUGUGGAUUAUUGUUAGGAGCCUUUUCUAUCAUUUUUGCUUACUAGCCAUUAUCAUCAUCAUAAACACCAUCCUCUAUCUAUCCAUCUCUCUCUCUCUCUCUCUCUCUCUCUCUCUCUCUCUCUCUCGCGCGGGCGUGUAGAGAUGAAGAUAAAAAGAGGCUCAUAGUGAUAAUCCAGUGGUUAAAUGUCAAUGAAUAUAUAUAGCUAUGAGAUCUGAAGGCUUGUCUAUAGACAUUUUUUGUCCUUCUAAGAUAUGCUUAUUAAAUUGUAAAUCACUUUUCGUCCUUAGUUAUUCUAUGGUGUUUUAUCUUCAUUUCUACAUAUCUAUUACGCUCCUCUUUAUUAUGCCCCUUAUUGACCAUUAUAUGGAAUUUGUGACUGCAUUUCGUUUUAAACAUUUGCACUGAAUAAUAUGUAUUUCCCAUGUGGUGCAAAUAUCCUUCCCAAGGUGCCCUUGAAACGCUGAUAAAAUUAAUGUGAUGGAACUUCAGUCAACUGCAAAUAGUAGAGCGUCCUGGAAUGUGGUUAUUUUGACAUUGUCAAUGGCACAGUUAAGAGUUUCAAUUGGUUUGUUUUUCUUUUGGUUUGGUGUGACUAUUUGGCAACUAUUGUAUGAAAUUUUGUUUGCUAGUGCUAGUUUAGAUAUUUAAGGUGUAUGGCUAACUGUAUGAGAUUCCAUAGAUUAAAUUGUGUUUGAUGGUAGAUUCCAUUUUAGUACUCCAUUGAUCUGAUCUUUGUUGGAAUUCAAAUAAAAGGUGAAGUUAUUAUUGUAGGUUUGAGCAUAUGAGACUUUAAAAAACAACGCUGUACUAAUGAUCAGAUCUAGUGUCUUUUGUUUAUUCUGUGCCUUUCCACGUUCUACUUGUGGUUGUCUGAGUUUAUAUUUCUU
RNAcentral lists this long non-coding RNA (2789 nucleotides) under Prunus persica (peach). Its description in RNAcentral is "long non-coding RNA (PPER_LNC007671)". The record is from RNAcentral. Lineage: Eukaryota; Viridiplantae; Streptophyta; Magnoliopsida; Rosales; Rosaceae.